CCUACGGGGGGCUGCAGUGGGGAAUAUUGCACAAUGGGCGCAAGCCUGAUGCAGCCAUGCCGCGUGUGUGAAGAAGGCCUUCGGGUUGUAAAGCACUUUCAGCGGGGAGGAAGGCGGUGAGGUUAAUAACCUCAUCGAUUGACGUUACCCGCGGAAGAAGCACCGGCUAACUCCGUGCCAGCAGCCGCGGUAAUACGGAGGGUGCAAGCGUUAAUCGGAAUUACUGGGCGUAAAGCGCACGCAGGCGGUCUGUCAAGUCGGAUGUGAAAUCCCCGGGCUCAACCUGGGAACUGCAUUCGAAACUGGCAGGCUAGAGUCUUGUAGAGGGGGGUAGAAUUCCAGGUGUAGCGGUGAAAUGCGUAGAGAUCUGGAGGAAUACCGGUGGCGAAGGCGGCCCCCUGGACAAAGACUGACGCUGAGGAGCGAAAGCGUGGGGAGCGAACAGGAUUAGAUACCCCUGUAGUC
RNAcentral lists this ribosomal RNA (465 nucleotides) under uncultured Klebsiella sp. RNAcentral's name for it is "bacterial SSU rRNA". It matches the Rfam family "Bacterial small subunit ribosomal RNA", at positions 338 to 795 of the family's 1533-position model. Lineage: Bacteria; Pseudomonadati; Pseudomonadota; Gammaproteobacteria; Enterobacterales; Enterobacteriaceae. The record is from RNAcentral.